Neomonachus schauinslandi (Hawaiian monk seal) is the source of this 198-nucleotide long non-coding RNA. RefSeq lists it as uncharacterized. The transcript is spliced from 3 exons. NCBI's taxonomy places the organism in Eukaryota, Metazoa, Chordata, Mammalia, Carnivora, Phocidae. The record is from RefSeq and is a predicted model, not a curated record.
AUUCGUAUCCACAAAAAUCCAAAGGGCAGCCCAGUUAAGCGUGAUCAUGUCCAUGGGCUUAUCUCUACAGAACAGGCAGAGACAUUAAUGUACAAUGAAGAAGUUUUUUGUUUUGUUUUUGCAAAUGUUUCAUUGAGCUACGGGCAGAGCUUGAAGAGAUGAGCUGAAAUAAGGAUACAGGUAAAUGGAAAUCGCGGC